UGUCGUGUCUAGGGGAGUGUGGGUGCAUGCAUGUUGGCAGGGGAUGUGUAGAUGUCUGCAUGUCAUGUAUAGUAUACGCAGAAGUAAGUAUAGCGGAGUGGAGUGUGUGUGGAUGUUGAGGGUGUGUGUGUGUGUGAAUGAGAAAGAUCUGAGGGCAAUAUCAAUCUGUGGAGAGCUGCAGAUCUUAUAUGGGCCCCAUCUUCCCAGGCGUGGGCAAUCAGCUAAUAAUUAGCUCCCCAAUGCUGCCUGCAGUUCACGCCCCGGCCACUGCACAGUCUAAGGGGAGCGUAGCGGCCACUGCACAGUCUAAGGGGAGCGUAGCGGCCACUGCACAGUCUAAGGGGAGCGUAGCGGCCACUGCACAGUCUAAGGGAGCCGUAGCGGCCACUGCACAGUCUAAGGGGAGCGUAGCGGCCACUGCACAGUCUAAGGGAGCCGUAGCGGCCACUGCACAGUCUAAGGGGAGCGUAGCGGGUCAUAACAGGGCAUGCACACCACGCGUUCUUACUCCCUCUCGGAUGUAUUUCUGUCUGUGGCAUGUCUGGUUUCCAUGCAACACCAUCGUAUCUGCUUCAGUACGGGUAUGAAAUAACCACACAGGGCCCAUGUUUCAUGGGGCAACAAGAUGGGAGAUAUGUGAGUGAC
Long non-coding RNA from Clupea harengus (Atlantic herring), 645 nucleotides. Lineage: Eukaryota; Metazoa; Chordata; Actinopteri; Clupeiformes; Clupeidae. The record is from Ensembl.